This 440-nucleotide ribosomal RNA is filed under the name uncultured bacterium. RNAcentral's name for it is "partial 16S ribosomal RNA". It matches the Rfam family "Bacterial small subunit ribosomal RNA", at positions 338 to 795 of the family's 1533-position model. The record is from RNAcentral.
CCUACGGGUGGCAGCAGUGGGGGAUAUUGCACAAUGGGGGAAACCCUGAUGCAGCGACGCCGCGUGGGUGAAGAAGCGCCUCGGCGCGUAAAGCCCUGUCAGCAGGGAAGAAAAUGACGGUACCUGCAGAAGAAGCCCCGGCUAACUACGUGCCAGCAGCCGCGGUAAUACGGAGGGGGCAAGCGUUAUCCGGAUUGACUGGGUGUAAUGGGGGCGCAGACGGCGAUGCAAGCCAGGAGUGAAAGCCCGGGGCCCAACCCCGGGACUGCACUUGGAACUGCGUGGCUAGAGUGCGGGAGGGGCAGGCGGAAUUCCUGGUGUAGCGGUGAAAUGCGUAGAUAUCAGGAGGAACACCGGUGGCGAAGGCGGCCUGCUGGACUGCAACUGACGUUGAGGCCCGAAAGCGUGGGGAGCAAACAGGAUUAGAUACCCGAGUAGUC